AAAUCAGGUGAUGAAAUUGGAUUCAAACUCUCACGACGGUCGUCUGAGACACAUCGUGUCAAAACUGAUGCAUUGAUCCAAUGUUUCUGAUGGUU
Mangifera indica (mango) is the source of this 95-nucleotide small nucleolar RNA. RefSeq annotates it as small nucleolar RNA Z161/Z228. The transcript has a single exon. Lineage: Eukaryota; Viridiplantae; Streptophyta; Magnoliopsida; Sapindales; Anacardiaceae. The record is from RefSeq and is a predicted model, not a curated record.